RNAcentral lists this ribosomal RNA (434 nucleotides) under uncultured bacterium. Its description in RNAcentral is "partial 16S ribosomal RNA". It matches the Rfam family "Bacterial small subunit ribosomal RNA", at positions 29 to 507 of the family's 1533-position model. The record is from RNAcentral.
AGCGAACGCUGGCGGCAGGCCUAACACAUGCCAGUCGAACGAACCUUUCGGGGUUAGUGGCGGACGGGUGAGUAACACGUGGGAACGUGCCUUUAGGUUCGGAAUAACUCAGGGAAACUUGUGCUAAUACCGAAUGUGCCCUUCGGGGGAAAGAUUAAUCGCCUUUAGAGCGGCCCGCGUCUGAUUAGCUAGUUGGUUGAGGUAAUGGCUCACCAAGGCGACGAUCAGUAGCUGGUCUGAGAGGAUGAUCAGCCACAUUGGGACUGAGACACGGCCCAAACUCCUACGGGAGGCAGCAGUGGGGAAUCUUGCGCAAUGGGCGAAAGUCUGACGCAGCCAUGCCGCGUGAAUGAUGAAGGUCUUAGGAUUGUAAAAUUCUUUCACCGGGGACGAUAAUGACGGUACCCGGAGAAGAAGCCCCGGCUAACUUCGUG